GGCUGUCAGCGGACUGCUC
Molecule: non-coding RNA, 19 nt
Filed under: Arabidopsis thaliana (thale cress)
Lineage: Eukaryota; Viridiplantae; Streptophyta; Magnoliopsida; Brassicales; Brassicaceae
Source: RNAcentral